GAAUGACUAAUCUUUGAAUGCUACUACUUAAUUGUAAACCAAAGGCUGAACAUCAGCAUUGUUUAUAGUAGUUUUCUUCAGGUGCGCAUAUCUAAAGUGAAGUGAGCUGGGCAACAGCCAGUGGGAGCAACGAUAUGUGCAAAUCCACUCACUAGUUUGGGAAGUUGGGGGAGUGGAAAAGAAGGGGUGGAGAAUGUUUCUGCGACAAAAUAUUUGGCCUGAGUGGGUUGCAGCUCGCACAGGCUGCUACCGAGAUCCCAUCAAACAGCGGCGCUGCUCCCCUAUUGUAAACCACUGCAUUAUUGAUGGUUACAACUUUAAGUACUGUAAGGUUUUGGAUCCAAUAUACUACUUCCGUUUUUUUUAUUUGUCACAGUUUAGUUCAAAAAAAUGAACUAGCGAGCGACAAAUAUUCGAUGACGUGGGUAGUAUCAUGUAGGCGGAGAUGCUUCGUUUUGCCGAACCAAAUACAGAAAAUUAAAUACAAAAACAUAUGCAGAUUUACCGGUAUUUUGUGCAGAAAAGUAAUAUUGUCUAUAUGGUGUUCGCCAUCUCAGAUGGUUUGUUUUGUAUUUGACAUUCUCUACAUUGGAAAUAUUAGAGAGUAGAAUUAAUAGGGCCUUUCAGUGGUUUAAGUACACAAGUAAUGAUAUAUAUAAAUAUGACCUUUUUUGUUUUGUUUUGUUUGAGUAAUGCAGAUUUCAUCAGCUGUAGAGGUCGUUGGAAUUCAGUCACACAAACACAAAAGUUAGUCCAUUAUUGUUGCUUCCUAAUCAGCAUACAAAUUCUUGCUGGUCGUCAGUGGGAUCUCCAACUAAAAUGUGAUCUAAGUGAGCGCAUGCUUUACUUUACUUUUAGGUUUAAUAUAUCAGUCUUGCCUAGUUUUUCAUGCGCAUUUUCGUUGUCAAGUGGGUGCAGCUAUGGUACGAAUCAUUUUACAUGGUAGCCGGUGACCAGAUGAGCUAGCGGUUACAACUCGUCAGAACUCGGGGCCGUUUUGGAACCGUUCGGCCAGAACCUUUCUCUCUUUGGUUCUUUCCUUCGCAUGUAAGAUAUGGUUGAGGUCCUGGCUGACCACUCUGCAACAGAAGAAUCUCUCCACUUCACGUAAGAAUAUGCUCGGUUAGAAAAACAGAAGUGCAGACCGCAGAGCAAGCUUUCCGUUGAGAUUUGCCUUUGCCGAAAGUCCUAAAACCAAUAGGUUUUAUCCGUUUCCAUGUUUGUUUCAGGGUUGAUUAUGUAAGCUCCGUCUGCAAGAUUUUGGUCACCUAACAAAGGGUGGUAGCAUCUUCGUCCCCGAAAAGAAAGUAACAGCGUCGUCGCUGGAUCUUGGACAAAGUGUUUCAGAAGAGCCAAAUAUCGUCGCUGGAUCUUGGACAAAGUGUUUCAGAAGAGCCAAAUAUCGUCGCUGGAUCUUGGACAAAGUGUUUCAGAAGAGCCAAAUAUCGCCUUCGGCAUCACAGGUGCGAAGGAAGAUUGAGGAGAGACUUGCACGACACAUUUUGCGAAGGAAAGUACAACAAUGCCCCCAUUGGAUUUUGUGGAUCAUGCUUAUGAAGUUUAAGGGCACAAUUGUAAUUUCAUAUGAAUUUGUGUGUCACCCUAUUCCUAUAAAUAGAAAUACAGUGUCCACGCAGAGAGACGUUUUUCGGACAAUUCACGUGCUCAUCCUCCAUUGAAACUCUCUGUCUCCAAAGCUACUAAUACAAACACAUCUUCGAAUACCAACAAGUGUCCCAAAGGAAUCUUGACAUAUGACCAACAUUGGCGUCCAUCUCCAAUGAACUCACGAACGACCACGACCACUCAUCAUACCUCU
This 1819-nucleotide long non-coding RNA is filed under the name Zea mays. RNAcentral's name for it is "long non-coding RNA (ZMAY_LNC004265)". Lineage: Eukaryota; Viridiplantae; Streptophyta; Magnoliopsida; Poales; Poaceae. The record is from RNAcentral.